This 980-nucleotide ribosomal RNA is filed under the name marine metagenome. RNAcentral describes it as "bacterial LSU rRNA". It matches the Rfam family "Bacterial large subunit ribosomal RNA", at positions 1933 to 2925 of the family's 2925-position model. The record is from RNAcentral.
GCCGUAACUAUAACGGUCCUAAGGUAGCGAAAUUCCUUGUCGGGUAAGUUCCGACCUGCACGAAUGGCGUAACGACUUCCCCGCUGUCUCCAACAUAGACUCAGUGAAAUUGAAUUGCCUGUCAAGAUGCAGGCUUCCCGCGGUUAGACGGAAAGACCCCGUGCACCUUUACUACAACUUUACACUGAUAACAGGCACAAUAUGUGCAGAAUAGGUGGUAGGCUUUGAAGCAGGGACGCCAGUCCUUGUGGAGCCUCCUUUGAGAUACCACCCUUAUUUUUCUUGUUAUCUAACUGCGGUCCGUUAUCCGGAUCCAGGACCCUGUAUGGUGGGUAGUUUGACUGGGGCGGUCGCCUCCUAAAGCGUAACGGAGGCGCGCGAAGGUUGGCUCAGAGCGGUCGGAAAUCGCUCGUUGAGUGCAAUGGCAGAAGCCAGCCUGACUGCGAGACUGACAAGUCGAGCAGAGUCGAAAGACGGCCAUAGUGAUCCGGUGGUCCCGAGUGGAAGGGCCAUCGCUCAACGGAUAAAAGGUACGCCGGGGAUAACAGGCUGAUGGUGCCCAAGAGUCCAUAUCGACGGCACCGUUUGGCACCUCGAUGUCGGCUCAUCUCAUCCUGGGGCUGGAGCAGGUCCCAAGGGUACGGCUGUUCGCCGUUUAAAGAGGUACGUGAGCUGGGUUUAGAACGUCGUGAGACAGUUCGGUCCCUAUCUGCCGUGGGUGUAGGAUACUUGAGAGGAGUUGCCCCUAGUACGAGAGGACCGGGGUGAACGAUCCACUGGUGGACCUGUUGUUGCGCCAGCAGCAGUGCAGGGUAGCUAUGAUCGGACAGGAUAACCGCUGAAGGCAUCUAAGCGGGAAGCCCCCCUCAAAACAAGGUAUCCCUGAGGGCCGUGGUAGACCACCACGUCGAUAGGCCGGAGAUGUAAGUGCAGCAAUGUGCUCAGUUGACCGGUACUAAUUGCCCGAUAGGCUUGAUUUG